UCCGGUUGAUCCUGCCAGAGGUUACUGCUAUCGGUGUUCGACUAAGCCAUGCAAGUCAUAUGUUCUUCGUGAACAUGGCAUACUGCUCAGUAACACGUGGAUAACCUGCCCUUGGGUCUGGGAUAACCCCGGGAAACUGGGGAUAAUACCGGAUAACGCAUAUGUGCUGGAAUGCUUUAUGCGUAAAACGGAUUCGUCCGCCCAAGGAUGGGUCUGCGGCCUAUCAGGUAGUAGUGGGUGUAAUGUACCUACUAGCCAACAACGGGUACGGGUUGUGAGAGCAAGAGCCCGGAGAUGGAUUCUGAGACAUGAAUCCAGGCCCUACGGGGCGCAGCAGGCGCGAAAACUUUACAAUGCGGGAAACCGUGAUAAGGGAACACCGAGUGCCAGCAUCAUAUGCUGGCUGUCCAGAUGUGUAAAGUUCAUCUGUUAGCAAGGGCCGGGCAAGACCGGUGCCAGCCGCCGCGGUAACACCGGCGGCCCGAGUGGUGACCGUUAUUAUUGGGUCUAAAGGGUCCGUAGCCGGUUUGGUCAGUCCUCCGGGAAAUCUGAUAGCUUAACUGUUAGGCUUUCGGGGGAUACUGCCAGGCUUGGAACCGGGAGAGGUAAGAGGUACUACAGGGGUAGGAGUGAAAUCUUGUAAUCCCUGUGAGACCACCUGUGGCGAAGGCGUCUUACCAGAACGGGUUCGACGGUGAGGGACGAAAGCUGGGGGCACGAACCGGAUUAGAUACCCGGGUAGUCCCAGCCGUAAACUAUGCUCGCUAGGUGUCAGGCAUGGCGCGACCGUGUCUGGUGCCGCAGGGAAGCCGUGAAGCGAGCCACCUGGGAAGUACGGCCGCAAGGCUGAAACUUAAAGGAAUUGGCGGGGGAGCACAACAACGGGUGGAGCCUGCGGUUUAAUUGGACUCAACGCCGGACAACUCACCGGGGACGACAGCAAAAUGUAGGCCAGGCUGAAGACCUUGCCUGAAUCGCUGAGAGGAGGUGCAUGGCCGUCGCCAGUUCGUACUGUGAAGCAUCCUGUUAAGUCAGGCAACGAGCGAGACCCA
Molecule: ribosomal RNA, 1052 nt
Filed under: uncultured Methanosarcina sp.
Lineage: Archaea; Methanobacteriati; Methanobacteriota; Methanomicrobia; Methanosarcinales; Methanosarcinaceae
Description: bacterial SSU rRNA
Rfam family: Archaeal small subunit ribosomal RNA
Source: RNAcentral